ACUGCUGAGCCAUCUCUCCAGCCCCAAAAUACAUAUAUUUUAAAAAUCAAUUAAAAGAAUAAAAUUUCAGGGCUGGAGAGAUGGCUCAGUGGU
This 93-nucleotide microRNA precursor is filed under the name Rattus norvegicus (Norway rat). Its description in RNAcentral is "mir-3473 microRNA precursor family". It matches the Rfam family "mir-3473 microRNA precursor family". Lineage: Eukaryota; Metazoa; Chordata; Mammalia; Rodentia; Muridae. The record is from Rfam by way of RNAcentral.